Long non-coding RNA from Dromaius novaehollandiae (emu), 1502 nucleotides. RefSeq lists it as uncharacterized. The transcript is spliced from 6 exons. Lineage: Eukaryota; Metazoa; Chordata; Aves; Casuariiformes; Dromaiidae. The record is from RefSeq and is a predicted model, not a curated record.
GUGCAGAGAAUUUGUUUGGCAUGCGCAAGCUGCUUACAUCAAUAUAUUAUUAAAAGGGGAGGAGGGAAGAGGACACAGACACAAACUUGUAGCAGUACUGCAGCUUUUCUGGUUCUCUGUGUCUAUACGUGUCUGUGUGUGUGUGUCUGUGUGUGUGUGUGUGUGUGUGUAUGUAUAUAUCUCAUUUAAUCCUGCAUUUCUUUAUCAGAGAAGCCAUGAAGACGCAUCUUUCCAUUUCCCAAAUACGUGUAUGUCUCCCCUGCUGCUUCUCCCUCCACAUCCUGUGACAUGCACUGGGGGCUUGGAUACAAAGUCAGAAGACACCACAAUAAUAUCACACAGCAGCUUCGGCUACAGCAAUAAUCAAGCCCCCUAUGAGGAGAUCUCACACCAAUCAAAAUUGGGCGGUGUGACCUGCCCCCUGGUCCGCCCUGCCGUGAGCAUACCACAGGCCUCCCAGUCCUGAGGCUAUCAGCGAAUGAAACCAGAAUAAGCUGCUCUCUCCAGCAGGGAACAUUCAUAUCCACUGGGAAAAACAAAACAGAAAAGAAAGAAAAUAUCUGAAAAAGAAAAUAUUUUGGCGAAGAUAGAGGAAACUGAACAGACAUGUUCCCUGAGCCUCCACUCUUCUCUAUAUAUUGGGGUUCGCAGAUGAACCAUGAUGUACCAACCUCACCAGAUACAUCAUGGAAAAUACAUUUCAGAUAAGAAGUGGCCAAUUGCUGAGCAUGGGUACUAGAGAUAUUCAAAUUGUAACACCCAUGCAGCAGUGGAAAUAGAACUUUUGAACAUGACCUCCAAAAAUCCAAAUUUCAUAUAGAAAGAACAAAAUUUCAGAAGGCUUACCUUGAGGAGAAUAGGGAAAAACUGUCCAGCUGUAUUCUGCUGGGACACACUGCUAACACAGUAAGAGUAAACCUGAGGAAUCUGUCUUCCGUGGCAAAAAAGAAAUUUUGUAUCACAAAGACUGGAACUACAGAUUAAAGAAUUUCUAUCCCAAAGAUUUAAAUAUAUAAAAGGGACUAAUCAAGAAAGACAGGCCUGUAAAAUAUAUUGGUGAAAAGCUGUAAGAGGAAGCUAAGAGAGCAAGAAAAACAGGAGCUGACAUCUUUAGAAGAUAAUAUCAUUUUCAUAACAGUAGUAAUAAAGCUGCUCAUUUAGUGUUAGAAAAAACUGAAGAGGAAUGUGACUGUCUACGACUCCAUAUCAUCAUCAUCACAGAAUAUCCUAUCUAAAGCUAACUCAUAUUAGGACGUUUUGCCUCUGCUGAAAAAACUUGAUGAGCAUUUCUUUCCAGAAAGGACUGUUUUAAAUGCUUACACAAUUCACUUGCACGUAUAAAGGCCUUUUAUGGCAUUUGCAACUGCUACUGCUAGAGACAGAACAAUGUGAGCAGCUUCUGCCGCCUUUGUGGGUUUUGUAACUGGAUGAAAAGCAGAGGGCACCCUAUCACAUGCUAACUCUCCUAUCACAAUGAAAAAGAAAAAGAAAAAGAAAAAGAA